Molecule: transfer RNA, 74 nt
Filed under: Bacilli bacterium
Lineage: Bacteria; Bacillati; Bacillota; Bacilli
Also listed under: 2 other names
Description: tRNA-Gly
Rfam family: tRNA
About the family: Transfer RNA (tRNA) molecules are approximately 80 nucleotides in length. Their secondary structure includes four short double-helical elements and three loops (D, anti-codon, and T loops).
Source: RNAcentral
GCAGGUGUAGUUCAGUGGUAGAACACUAGCCUUCCAAGCUAGUUAUGCGGGUCCGAUUCCCGUCACCUGCUCCA